UACGGAGGAUGCGAGCGUUAUCCGGAUUUAUUGGAUUUAAAGGGUGCGUAGGCGGACGCUUAAGCCAGCGGUAAAAUUGCGGGGCUCAACCUCGUCGAGCCGUUGAAACUGGGUGCCUUGAGUGGGCGAGAAGUACGCGGAAUGCGUGGUGUAGCGGUGAAAUGCAUAGAUAUCACGCAGAACUCCGAUUGCGAAGGCAGCAUACCGGCGCCCUACUGACGCUGAGGCACGAAAGCGUGGGUAUCGAACAGG
RNAcentral lists this ribosomal RNA (252 nucleotides) under uncultured bacterium. RNAcentral's name for it is "partial 16S ribosomal RNA". It matches the Rfam family "Bacterial small subunit ribosomal RNA", at positions 524 to 776 of the family's 1533-position model. The record is from RNAcentral.